RNAcentral lists this ribosomal RNA (406 nucleotides) under uncultured bacterium. RNAcentral describes it as "partial 16S ribosomal RNA". It matches the Rfam family "Bacterial small subunit ribosomal RNA", at positions 30 to 526 of the family's 1533-position model. The record is from RNAcentral.
AUUGAACGCUGGCGGCAGGCCUAACACAUGCAAGUCGAACGAGUGGCGGACGGGUGAGUAAUGUCUGGGAAACUGCCCGAUGGAGGGGGAUAACUACUGGAAACGGUAGCUAAUACCGCAUACCAUCGGAUGUGCCCAGAUGGGAUUAGCUAGUAGGUGGGGUAACGGCUCACCUAGGCGUCGAUCCCUAGCUGGUCUGAGAAGAUGACCAGGCACACUGGAACUGAGACAGGGACCAGACGCCUACGUGAUGAAGCAGUGGGGAAUAUUGCACAAUGGGCGCAAGUCUGAUGCAGCCAUGCCGUGUGGAUGAAGAAGGCGUUCGGGUUGUAAAGUACUUUCAGCGAGGAGGCGUUACUCGCAGAAGAAGCACCGGCUAACUCCGUGCCAGCAGCCGCGGUAAUAC